AGGUUAUCUCUUUUGCGUUUAAUUCUAAAUUUCCAAAAUAAUUUUCGAUAUGGCAUUGUAUGCGGUUAUGAGUAUAAAUGUGAAUGUAUGCGCUCAUACGAAAUCAUACAUAUCGCGUAUGCGGCGGAAGAUACUUCGAUCACGGCGCAUCGAUCCAUUCUACCCGUCUGCUGAAGAUAUGUAUAACUGUUUCUACGGCUCGUAAGGGAAUUCCGCAGGCCGCCUUGAAUCGGGUGGGAAUCGUUCGGGAAAACGUUUCAGGGAACCGUUAGCGUACCCGCGGUGCGAACGCAUCUUACGAAUGAUUGUCCUCCUGGGUGCGCGCAAUACGAUCGUUCGCUUGCCGAGAAUGAGAAGUUUCGACCCGUUCUUUAAGUAUUACACUAAGGAAUCGAUUUGUGUUGACUUCACGGCGCACGUGUAAGGCUCUGACGUAAUGUGCUAAUUGAAGCGUUUCGCGGAAUGAGUUAGACAUACGUGUUUAUUAAGGAGAAACGAGAAUCCAUAAAUCGCAGACAAUCAGUAGACAUUAGCAUUGUCGUUUAAUAAAAAUUAUCACAAAUAAAAAAAAAACAUAAAAACAUUGUAAUCGGUGAGAUGAAUCAGGAGCGUAAAUUUUUAGUAAUUUUAAUUAAGCUAUUUGUAAUAAUUUAAUAAAAUUUUAUGCGCCUUUUUCUAUAUCUGACGGCAUCUGCGAACUAUCACACAUGAGUAAAUAAUCGCCGUUUGGCGAAGUACCAGCUGUGUAGCAGCAUGAAAAUAAUUUACGCAAAUGAUGAAUAUCCACUCGAGCUCUUUGCUUUGCAGGUUGUUAGUGCGCAUGUACUGCGACACGAAGGAAGCGCAGCAAGAAGCGCAAGAAGCGUCGCGCAAACUUGAUAAUCACUGCCGUCUCUUGUCAACUGCGACUUAUCGAGUCUCGCUAUCUCGCAUCUCGCGGGUGCGCCUGUCGUUAAGCCGGCCGCCAACAUUUUGUAAUUGAUUGAAGCAAAAUACAGUCGUGCAAGGCAGGCCGGGCAAUCGGGGGGACAGCCGAGAUCCAGUAAGUCAAAUUUUCCCGUCAAGCGACGGCCGCUCGUCCGUGUACAUGACGUUUUAAUAACGGUUCGUGAGCGAUUGAAAAUGUCAAUCUACUCCGCUUUUGCGGAGAGCGUGCGUGUAAAACGCGUGCACUACAUUCGCGAUGCGUGCGAAACGCUCGUCGUAGGUUCGUAUCUGUUAACCGUCAUCGUUUAAGAAUUCCGCUUUCGAUCUCUCGCGUGUUCGUUUAACGCCUUGGAAUUGUCAAAGCGUUUUUCCUAAGUAAAGUCCUGGCACCUGCUUUUUAGCACAUUAUUACCUUCGUGAAACCGACAUUAGAAGGGGCUUUUUCAUCGAUACAUACUCGCUCCUCGCGCUGCUCGCGCGGCGAACUCGCGCGCCGGACGUGCCAACCGACCGGACAAUAUUUAAUAUACGAUCAAUUUUUUCAUUUUCGGAUUGGAUCGUAACAUAUCCCUUUUUACGUAAAAUUUUUUUUAUAAAAUACGUAAUUAUUUUAUAUUGCAAUAAAAGAGAUUUUUUGCCGAGAUAAAAAGUAAUAAAAAAUUUCAUAUUAAUUUUUAAACAUGGAGCGCAAAUUUUUCAUCGGAACACACGGAAACAAGGGCUACCGGUUUAGAUACAUUUAUAUAUUAUGCAGUAUGUAAUUACUUUCCGAUAAAAGGGAUUUUUUUUUGCCAAGAUAAAAAAAAUAAUAAAAAUUUGUAUUAAUGUUAAAAAUGUAUUCCCGAGGCUCGAUUUUCGCCGCUGGCGAUUUCAAGACAGAUACGGGACAAUAAUACAUGCUUUUUUUCCUGCGUAAUGCCAUAAUGGAAUUAUUUCCGCCAUGUCUCGUUUAAACGAAAGUUACGAUACGAUCGCAACUGUUCUGGCUGAAUUGCACCAAAAAUCUGCAUUAAUUGAUUCUGAUUCACGCUUCAUGAUCUCUUUUUGUAUCAUUUAAAAUAUAAAGUCAGAUACACAUAAUAAAGAAAAUUCUUUAAUGAUAGUUAUUUAAUCGAAAUUAAAAAUUAAUCAAGAUUAACGUGAGAGUCGACCGCUAUAACCGGCCGUAAGAAAUUCAAAUUGAUCUUGGAGUUAAACUCAAGUAUAAGUGUCAUGUUUCGAUAAUCAAUUGCUUCUCACCGUCGACGUCGGUCAAAAGGCCCGGAACAAUGGCGUUAGCGUGGAUAGGCGAGAAGCGGUAUCGCCGGCGUGAGUUUAUCUAGCCAGUUCUAUCUUUUAUUAGCAUCCCGUAGAAGCUAUUUCGUAGCCCUUUCUCUAUCGCCUAACGUAUCCAGGCAGUUUCUCCGGAGUCUCGGCCGUUCCGUAGUCGAGCAGGAGUACCAGAAGUGCGUAUUUACGAGCGUUCCCGUCCAUAAAGCAACCUCGCGCCUGAUUUUGAUACAUUCUCCACUCCGAGCACUAUCUCACGCGCGAAUACGACCUACGUAGCCAUACACUUGGGAUUUAUGGUGAUACUGCGCGCGAGAUAUAUACUACGGAAUUUAAAGCGACGAGCAGACGGAUACGUGUUGCUGAAACAUACAUUAGGCGUUGGAGAAAUAACGACAGACCGGCACGGGCAGGAAUAAACACACAGCAAGCAUGAAGCGCAACCCUCUAGCAGCAGCAAAUAUGCAGCCGCGCGCCACUCCGAGACAUAUUUUCGCGUCCGAUAUAAAACUUGGCGUAAAUCGAUAAUGUAUUGUUCAACAAUGCUAUUUUUGUUCAUACAGAUAUGUCAGAACUUAUGCAAGCAAAUGGUGUAGCGUCACGAAUUAAUAUAUGUGCCCUCGGCUACUUAAUCCAUUUAUUAAAAUCGCGUGUUGAUCGUCAACAUGUGUUAUCGACGUGA
Molecule: long non-coding RNA, 2878 nt
Organism: Wasmannia auropunctata (little fire ant)
Lineage: Eukaryota; Metazoa; Arthropoda; Insecta; Hymenoptera; Formicidae
Exons: 2
Source: RefSeq, a predicted model, not a curated record